RNAcentral lists this ribosomal RNA (269 nucleotides) under Clostridioides difficile. RNAcentral's name for it is "partial 23S ribosomal RNA". It matches the Rfam family "Bacterial large subunit ribosomal RNA", at positions 1 to 270 of the family's 2925-position model. The record is from RNAcentral. Lineage: Bacteria; Bacillati; Bacillota; Clostridia; Peptostreptococcales; Peptostreptococcaceae.
GGUCAAGUUAUUAAGGGUGCAGGGCGGAUGCCUUGGCACUAGGAGCCGAUGAAGGACGUGAUAAGCUGCGAUAAGCUUCGGGGAGUUGCACGUAAACUUUGAUCCGAAGAUUUCCGAAUGAGGAAACUCACUUAGAGUAAUGUCUAAGUAUCAUUAAGUGAAUACAUAGCUUAAUGAGGGGAACUCAGGGAACUGAAACAUCUAAGUACCUGAAGGAAGAGAAAGAAAUUCGAUUCCGUAAGUAGCGGCGAGCGAACGCGGAUUAGCCC